This is a long non-coding RNA of Phyllostomus discolor (pale spear-nosed bat), 1351 nucleotides long. RefSeq lists it as uncharacterized. Lineage: Eukaryota; Metazoa; Chordata; Mammalia; Chiroptera; Phyllostomidae. The transcript is spliced from 2 exons. The record is from RefSeq and is a predicted model, not a curated record.
UCUACUUGUGGUGUCAGUUUUCAUUACACUGAUGGUAUAAUGAGCUUUGGGGUUGUUCUCUGGUAAAUUUUUCAUUCAUCUUGGUUUUAGAUAGUUCUUGUUGUUUUUUUGUGGCCAUCACAGGAGUUCACUGCAAUAAACUGUUUCCCUUUGAUCCUGCAUGGAGGUAGGGGCUCUGGUGAGGGAUCUAGUGGCUUAUCAGCCUGUGAUGUCCACUCCUACUUCCCCAUUGUCGGGAGCUUUCCUUAACUUCUUUCUACCUUGCCUCAACAGGAUUCAUGAAUCCUAAGCCUCAUUCUUCACAAACUAGUUGUGAGACUUCUGAUACCAAGAACUUCCAGUUCCUGUGAGAGAGCAAAGCUGUGAGAUGUGAAGCACCCCAAUGCUUGAGUUACCUCAUCAAGGAAAGUUGUGUCCCCACCAGGAACACCUGCAUUGGACAGUUCUGCAAAUGAGAAACAAACUUCUGUUGUAUUAAGUCACAGAGUUUAGGUUUAUUUGUUAUAGCAGCUAUGAUUUCCCUAACUAAUACAGUUGAUUUCUGAAAUAAUUCACAGUGCUGGCAGAAAGGAAUAAAGUAAAAUGUUAUUAUAUUACUGUCAUUUCAUUUGAGAAAAGAUAAAAAUCAGAAGGGAGGAUAACUCUAAAGAAAUUUCCCCAAGCUUUCUUAAGUCAUUGGAGAAUAUUCACAAUUAGUAUAAAAAUGAAACAACAAUAAUAAUACCAAUACAUAGUAUCUAUGCCUAAUAGGUUUGUACUCCCUCGAUUUACAUUUUAAUUUCCUUGAACUGGCUCAUGACACAUUCUUAUGUGGGAUUCAACAUUUAGCAACCAAUAUGAUUUCCUUCUUUCUGGGCUUUUCUUACUCCUCUCUUUACCCUCCCACAUCCAUAUCCCUGCUGCCUUCUCCUUCCCACAAAGCUCAUUUUUGGCAAAAUGGUUUUUAUAAACUGCACAUUUUAAUGAAUUAAGUGUAAUCCCACAGUCACACUUGCAUUUUCCCACAUUCCCCUGACUUCCACACUCUUGCUAUGGGAAUUUGCCCUUACACCUCCAGAAAAAAGAAUGCAUUAAAAAUUCUGUCUAUAAGUAGAAAAGUUAUGCACAGAAUGUGACAGCUUUUCCACUUUUUCUUUUUGAAAAUGUAAGAGGGAAGAUAAUUUUCAAACAUUGCCUGUCCUCUGAGAAAGUAAAAAAAUAAUCCGUGUUGUUUUUCUUUUGACAGUCAUGAAACUGGUUAUGAUCAUAAAUCCAUAGUUCACCUUUCAUCCUUUUUAGUGGAAGCUUUAUAGACUGGCUUCUACCCUGCCAAAGACAAAAACUGAACCAUUUGAUAGCAGAAAAAUUUAAG